RNAcentral lists this ribosomal RNA (1451 nucleotides) under Lactiplantibacillus plantarum. RNAcentral describes it as "bacterial SSU rRNA". It matches the Rfam family "Bacterial small subunit ribosomal RNA". Lineage: Bacteria; Bacillati; Bacillota; Bacilli; Lactobacillales; Lactobacillaceae. The record is from RNAcentral.
GUGCUAUACAUGCAAGUCGAACGAACUCUGGUAUUGAUUGGUGCUUGCAUCAUGAUCUUACAUUUGAGUGAGUGGCGAACUGGUGAGUAACACGUGGGAAACCUGCCCAGAAGCGGGGGAUAACACCUGGAAACAGAUGCUAAUACCGCAUAACAACUUGGACCGCAUGGUCCGAGUUUGAAAGAUGGCUUCGGCUAUCACUUUUGGAUGGUCCCGCGGCGUAUUAGCUAGAUGGUGGGGUAACGGCUCACCAUGGCAAUGAUACGUAGCCGACCUGAGAGGGUAAUCGGCCACAUUGGGACUGAGACACGGCCCAAACUCCUACGGGAGGCAGCAGUAGGGAAUCUUCCACAAUGGACGAAAGUCUGAUGGAGCAACGCCGCGUGAGUGAAGAAGGGUUUCGGCUCGUAAAACUCUGUUGUUAAAGAAGAACAUAUCUGAGAGUAACUGUUCAGGUAUUGACGGUAUUUAACCAGAAAGCCACGGCUAACUACGUGCCAGCAGCCGCGGUAAUACGUAGGUGGCAAGCGUUGUCCGGAUUUAUUGGGCGUAAAGCGAGCGCAGGCGGUUUUUUAAGUCUGAUGUGAAAGCCUUCGGCUCAACCGAAGAAGUGCAUCGGAAACUGGGAAACUUGAGUGCAGAAGAGGACAGUGGAACUCCAUGUGUAGCGGUGAAAUGCGUAGAUAUAUGGAAGAACACCAGUGGCGAAGGCGGCUGUCUGGUCUGUAACUGACGCUGAGGCUCGAAAGUAUGGGUAGCAAACAGGAUUAGAUACCCUGGUAGUCCAUACCGUAAACGAUGAAUGCUAAGUGUUGGAGGGUUUCCGCCCUUCAGUGCUGCAGCUAACGCAUUAAGCAUUCCGCCUGGGGAGUACGGCCGCAAGGCUGAAACUCAAAGGAAUUGACGGGGGCCCGCACAAGCGGUGGAGCAUGUGGUUUAAUUCGAAGCUACGCGAAGAACCUUACCAGGUCUUGACAUACUAUGCAAAUCUAAGAGAUUAGACGUUCCCUUCGGGGACAUGGAUACAGGUGGUGCAUGGUUGUCGUCAGCUCGUGUCGUGAGAUGUUGGGUUAAGUCCCGCAACGAGCGCAACCCUUAUUAUCAGUUGCCAGCAUUAAGUUGGGCACUCUGGUGAGACUGCCGGUGACAAACCGGAGGAAGGUGGGGAUGACGUCAAAUCAUCAUGCCCCUUAUGACCUGGGCUACACACGUGCUACAAUGGAUGGUACAACGAGUUGCGAACUCGCGAGAGUAAGCUAAUCUCUUAAAGCCAUUCUCAGUUCGGAUUGUAGGCUGCAACUCGCCUACAUGAAGUCGGAAUCGCUAGUAAUCGCGGAUCAGCAUGCCGCGGUGAAUACGUUCCCGGGCCUUGUACACACCGCCCGUCACACCAUGAGAGUUUGUAACACCCAAAGUCGGUGGGGUAACCUUUUAGGAACCAGCCGCCUAAA